AAUAAACCCAACAAGUACAACCGUGCAAUUGAGCCCAACUCUAAAUUACAUAACACACUUUCUCUUUCAGACUUUCACUGUUGCACAUAACCCUAAACAUGAUAACAUUCAAAUUCCCAAAUUCCUAAUUUGUUUCCCCUCUCUCUCUCUCUCUCUCUAUGAGACCAUCAUCCAGUCAGCAGUCACCCUAGCACACAUUUCUUACAAAUUAUUUUGUAUUUUGAACUAUUGGACAUGUUACAUCAAAUUACAGGUAAUAUUCUAUAAAAAUUAAACUAUUGAUUAUAUAAUGUCGAGAAUUUCAAUCGGCUCGUUUAGAGCUCGAGCUC
This 329-nucleotide long non-coding RNA is filed under the name Ananas comosus (pineapple). RNAcentral describes it as "long non-coding RNA (ACOM_LNC017684)". The record is from RNAcentral. Lineage: Eukaryota; Viridiplantae; Streptophyta; Magnoliopsida; Poales; Bromeliaceae.